Molecule: ribosomal RNA, 443 nt
Filed under: uncultured Nitrosospira sp.
Lineage: Bacteria; Pseudomonadati; Pseudomonadota; Betaproteobacteria; Nitrosomonadales; Nitrosomonadaceae
Description: bacterial SSU rRNA
Rfam family: Bacterial small subunit ribosomal RNA
Source: RNAcentral
GCAAGACCUUGCGCUUUUGGAGCGGCCGAUGUCUGAUUAGCUAGUUGGUGGGGUAAUGGCUUACCAAGGCUUCGAUCAGUAGCUGGUCUGAGAGGACGACCAGCCACACUGGGACUGAGACACGGCCCAGACUCCUACGGGAGGCAGCAGUGGGGAAUUUUGGACAAUGGGGGAAACCCUGAUCCAGCCAUGCCGCGUGAGUGAAGAAGGCCUUCGGGUUGUAAAGCUCUUUCAGCCGGAACGAAAUGGUCAUGGUUAAUACCCGUGACAAAUGACGGUACCGGAAGAAGAAGCACCGGCUAACUACGUGCCAGCAGCCGCGGUAAUACGUAGGGUGCAAGCGUUAAUCGGAAUUACUGGGCGUAAAGCGUGCGCAGGCGGUUUUGUAAGUCAGAUGUGAAAUCCCCGGGCUUAACCUGGGAACUGCGUUUGAAACUACAAGG